RNAcentral lists this ribosomal RNA (434 nucleotides) under uncultured Lachnospiraceae bacterium. Its description in RNAcentral is "partial 16S ribosomal RNA". It matches the Rfam family "Bacterial small subunit ribosomal RNA", at positions 341 to 792 of the family's 1533-position model. The record is from RNAcentral. Lineage: Bacteria; Bacillati; Bacillota; Clostridia; Lachnospirales; Lachnospiraceae.
ACGGAAGGCAGCAGUGGGGAAUAUUGGACAAUGGGGGAAACCCUGAUCCAGCGACGCCGCGUGAGUGAAGAAGUAUUUCGGUAUGUAAAGCUCUAUCAGCAAGGAAGAAAAUGACGGUACUUGACUAAGAAGCUCCGGCUAAAUACGUGCCAGCAGCCGCGGUAAUACGUAUGGAGCAAGCGUUAUCCGGAUUUACUGGGUGUAAAGGGAGCGUAGACGGGACAGCAAGUCUGAUGUGAAAUGCGGGGGCUCAACCCCUGAACUGCAUUGGAAACUGUUGACCUUGAGUGCCGGAGAGGUAAGCGGAAUUCCUAGUGUAGCGGUGAAAUGCGUAGAUAUUAGGAGGAACACCAGUGGCGAAGGCGGCUUACUGGACGGUAACUGACGUUGAGGCUCGAAAGCGUGGGGAGCAAACAGGAUUAGAUACCCUGGUA